RNAcentral lists this ribosomal RNA (253 nucleotides) under uncultured bacterium. Its description in RNAcentral is "partial 16S ribosomal RNA". It matches the Rfam family "Bacterial small subunit ribosomal RNA", at positions 526 to 779 of the family's 1533-position model. The record is from RNAcentral.
CGGAGGGUGCGAGCGUUAAUCGGAAUAACUGGGCGUAAAGGGCACGCAGGCGGACUUUUAAGUGAGGUGUGAAAGCCCCGGGCUUAACCUGGGAAUUGCAUUUCAGACUGGGAGUCUAGAGUACUUUAGGGAGGGUAGAAUUCCACGUGUAGCGGUGAAAUGCGUAGAGAUGUGGAGGAAUACCGAAGGCGAAGGCAGCCCCUUGGGAAUGUACUGACGCUCAUGUGCGAAAGCGUGGGGAGCAAACAGGAUU